UCUUCAAAUUAAUUAUUCGAAAAGUAUUUUCUAGAUAUUAAAAAGUCAAGAGACUCGAAAUUAAAUUUAUUAUUAAUUUAUUUCAAAUUUUAAUUCAACUUAGUCAAUUUAUUGAAUUCGGUCAUAAUUGAAAUCUAUUUGGCCAUAAUUGCUUUACAGUUAGCCAAUGAACUUAUUAAGUUGGCUAGAUUUUAAUAAAUUGAUUAAAAUUUCAAUUCAUUUACGUUAUCUCUUAAAUAGUUUAAUCCCCACGCCAAUUAAAUGUGUAAAUCUACCCAGGCCCAAAUGUUGGCUGAUCCAUACGGCCCAACAACAAUUAAAACCUCCCCCACCUUAAUUCUAAUUAAACCUACAAGCCCAGCAGCUUCAACAAACAACCCAACAACCCACAACCUGACCCGGCCCAACUCUAUUUUCCCCUUUUACCUUUACAGCAAUCAACAGCUACCACAAUAUCACCAAAAACCAACAUACAGUAACAACAGCCGAGAACAACGACAAUCGACGCCGAACAACGCUAAAACCACAGGACAUCAAAAAUGGUUUUUCAUCUCUCUCCUUGUUGAUCUUCUCUGGUCAUCCGCGAUUUCAGCCUGUCUCCAUCAACAUCUUUUCGGUUCUCUUUCUCUUCCUAUUUUUUCUGAAAAAAAUCAGACCAAAAGGGUUGUGUUUCUCCAUUGCAGACCUCUGAGAAGAGAGAUAUAUGGGAAUUCAAUGGUUUUUGGGAUCUUGUUUCCUUGAUUCAGUGGACAAACAAUUGCUCACCUUGAAGAACUCAAAUUGUCAAAAAUCCAACCUCCUCAAGUCUGAAUCUUUCAAAUUUACUCUGAAAAGUUCAUUGGACUCCCAUCUAUCGCAUUCCGUUGGGUUAAAUCCAACCCCCAUCGAGUCAAGCUUCAUUAAAGUCCAACAAUGUACUUAUAUCGCAAGACAACACUGGUAUACAAUUGUAUACAGAUGAUAUACAUUAGGAGGCAGCAGCUGCACAUUAUACCGUGGUUCAUGAUGAAAAAUGGAGUCGAAAUACGCAGCUUACCGCACUGAUAUACACCGUAUAUGCAGCGGUAUACUCAAAAACGCAGAAAAUAAGCUGCUGAUAUACAGCAGAUAUACAAGGGCAAAAAGGGGGCUAAAGUCCAUGGAAUUGGUCCAAAAUUGGACAGAUUUUUUAAUGGGCAAAAAGGGGCCCCAAUUCUCACUCUGCUCUCUUUAAUUAUCCACUAGUAUAUAUACACGCGCGAUGUGCGGAUAAAAAUAUUAUUUCUUAUCUUUUCGGAUUGUGAUAUUUGAGCAUGUUAAAUCAUCUUACUUUAAACAGAAUUUAAUUAUCAUAUUAUUCCUUAAUAAAAUGAAUCCCAACUCCAAAUCAUCCCUCUUCCCCCUCCCCCACCCCCACC
This is a long non-coding RNA of Capsicum annuum, 1397 nucleotides long. RefSeq lists it as uncharacterized. The record is from RefSeq and is a predicted model, not a curated record. The transcript has 2 exons. NCBI's taxonomy places the organism in Eukaryota, Viridiplantae, Streptophyta, Magnoliopsida, Solanales, Solanaceae.